This is a long non-coding RNA of Panicum virgatum (switchgrass), 1817 nucleotides long. RefSeq lists it as uncharacterized. The record is from RefSeq and is a predicted model, not a curated record. The transcript has 3 exons. NCBI's taxonomy places the organism in Eukaryota, Viridiplantae, Streptophyta, Magnoliopsida, Poales, Poaceae.
AACCAAGAGCGAUGCCAGCGCCUGUCUAGUACUGGAGCUGAUUCACUGAUCCUUUUUCACUAUUAUCGACAAGACCACCUCGCUGGGACCUAGAACUCGCCGCCGGUCCCCACACCAGCGGAGACAGGCAAGCAGCAUGAUGAGGUGGACAGAAAAUUGGCCCAACGUGAAGUUGUCUGAUUUGAGCGAGUAGCAACUCGAUAGGAGCGUGGGUAGUAAGCCAAUAACUCGCUGCUCACGACUCAGUAAACAACGAUUCAGGUAUGCAUAUUAUUCAGACCCUUUCCACAUCCACUGUCAUCUCCUUCCCUCCGCCAUGGCUGUGCCAAACUUAUGGAUGAAGCAUCAGGCAGCAGCGGCCGUGCUUGGUUCUUGAGAGUGACGGGGCUGCUCAAUGCCUCCUUCAUAUGCUGUUUUCUGAAUCUACUAGCACUUCUUCUCAUGUCAUAACUGUUGCUUGAAAGGUGCUCGACAGUAUGCUCCAGUUGUGACAUGACACUAGAAGCUCUGUUGGCAAUGGAACAAUUCUUUGGCAAAGUGAAGGCUAUAUCAAGAAGAUGGACUUCUAAUUGUUUUUCACUUACUAUGUAUUUUUCCUGCUUGAUCAAGAUUAUUUGAUAUUAAGUCAAUUCUUUCAUUCAGUAGGUUAUGAUUUAAAAGCCAAAUUGAAAUCCUUUUGCUUUCCCAGUUUUCCCUUUUCAAGUUUAUUCAGAUUCCAUUCUAUUUAGUUUAACUUACCUAAUUAAAUGUCCAGCUAAUCUUGUAUUCACUUAUUACUUAUUGCGAGCUGUCAAUUUACCUUGUCUUUAACUUAUACAGUGCUUCAGUAUUCCAAAGAAUCUCAUUUUUUUCCUUUCCAAUUUAUUUUGGUCAGUGGCUGGGUUCUUCGUCUUUAUUGCUUAGUGAAUCAGAAUGACAAACACCUUACAAUCAAGUUAUUCCCACCAUUCAUGUCGGAAGUAUGCUAUUCCUUGUAACAUCAUCAAAUCCACUUGCUUUGCAUCUAUCACAGCAAAACAAAAUGCCAAGCAGAUAACCCUUCCAGAAAUAUUUGUUCAGAGCCUUCAAAUGACAGCAGCCAUGAAACAAAUAGCGUGGGCCCCUACCAACUUACAGCUCAUACCUGAUUGAAGCUAUAUAGAACCUCAGUGGCUAAUGAUUAAGAUGCCUUGACUAAAGUAUCUUAUUUUCCAUGGUUAAAGUUGUCAGACGAUUCUAUAUAUACUUUCUUAGUACUUAUAUUGUGCAAGAUGGAACAGAAAUAACAAAUGUACCUGCAACCACUUUCUAUGUUAGAUCCAUACUCCGCAAUGAAAAAGGAUACUUUUCGAUCUAUAUCUGGGAUGUUUAUUGUGUAAUUUGGUUGGACAGAAUUGCAAAUGAGUUAAGCAUCCAAAAGUGUUUGUGUUUUUUGUUAUCUGGUCAUGCAUGAAUUCCCAAAAAGCUUAAGUGAUUUCUGCACUUGGGUAAAAAUUUAUCCAUAUGUUAUAUGUAAUUGAGCAAUUUCAACAAAAUUUAAACCUUCAUUGGAUGUGCUCUUGCUUGAGGUUCCAACUAUGUGUCACAACAAGUUGUCUAUCUGAUCAUCAAGCAUUUAAUUUGCUUCAGUUAAGUUUUGCAAAAAAAAAAAGAAAUCAGUUAAGGCAUGAAUUUUGUUGCAGACUUAAAGAAAAGUAUGAACCAAUUUGAUUAUGUUUUUUUUAUUUCUGACAUCUAUACUAUACAUCUUUCAUUUGCAAAGAUUUUCCUUUGUCAAUACCUUAUCUAUAUGGAGUUCAGCAACAAGGGAAAUAAAAAAGGUACAUUUGAGGGCUUCA